UCACAUGAUGCGGUAAUUUGCGAUUGACCCUGCGACUGUGAACUCUCGCCGGAGUUUCAAUACAGCGCUCGCGCAUGAUAUUCAAUUUCUUACAUAUUCUGAUG
RNAcentral lists this small nucleolar RNA (104 nucleotides) under Aspergillus carbonarius ITEM 5010. RNAcentral's name for it is "A. fumigatus snoRNA Afu_514". It matches the Rfam family "A. fumigatus snoRNA Afu_514". The record is from Rfam by way of RNAcentral. Lineage: Eukaryota; Fungi; Ascomycota; Eurotiomycetes; Eurotiales; Aspergillaceae.